RNAcentral lists this ribosomal RNA (497 nucleotides) under uncultured bacterium. Its description in RNAcentral is "partial 16S ribosomal RNA". The stretch from base 20 to 374 matches the Rfam family "Bacterial small subunit ribosomal RNA", at positions 47 to 391 of the family's 1533-position model. The record is from RNAcentral.
GAUGAACGCUGGCGGCGUGCCUAAUACAUGCAAGUCGAGCGAACGGACGAGAAGCUUGCUUCUCUGAUGUUAGCGGCGGACGGGUGAGUAACACGUGGAUAACCUACCUAUAAGACUGGGAUAACUUCGGGAAACCGGAGCUAAUACCGGAUAAUAUUUUGAACCGCAUGGUUCAAAAGUGAAAGACGGUCUUGCUGUCACUUAUAGAUGGAUCCGCGCUGCAUUAGCUAGUUGGUAAGGUAACGGCUUACCAAGGCAACGAUGCAUAGCCGACCUGAGAGGGGGAGGGGGCACAAGUGAACUGAGACAGGGAACAGACUAAGAAGGGAGGAAGCAGUAGGGAAUGUUAUGGAAUGGGAGAAAGAAUGAAGGAGAAAAGUAGAGGGAGGGAGGAAGGUAUUAGGAGCGGGAAAAGAUGUGAUUAGGGAAGAAAAGAGGGGGAAGUAACGGGGCCGAGCGGGAAGGGAGGGAAGAAGAAAGAAAAGGAGAAUGAAGGG